Molecule: ribosomal RNA, 472 nt
Filed under: uncultured bacterium
Lineage: Bacteria
Description: bacterial SSU rRNA
Rfam family: Bacterial small subunit ribosomal RNA
Source: RNAcentral
UGGGGAAUUUUGGACAAUGGGCGCAAGCCUGAUCCAGCCAUGCCGCGUGUGUGAAGAAGGCCUUCGGGUUGUAAAGCACUUUCGGCCGGAACGAAAUCGCCUCCGUUAAUAGCGGGGGUGGAUGACGGUACCGGAAGAAGAAGCACCGGCUAACUACGUGCCAGCAGCCGCGGUAAUACGUAGGGUGCGAGCGUUAAUCGGAAUUACUGGGCGUAAAGGGUGCGCAGGCGGUUGCGCAAGUCAGGCGUGAAAUCCCCGGGCUUAACCUGGGAAUGGCGCUUGAAACUACGUGACUGGAGUAUGGCAGAGGGAGGUGGAAUUCCACGUGUAGCGGUGAAAUGCGUAGAGAUGUGGAGGAACACCGAUGGCGAAGGCAGCCUCCUGGGCCAAUACUGACGCUCAUGCACGAAAGCGUGGGGAGCAAACAGGAUUAGAUACCCUCGUAGUCCCUGAGCGGGCUGGCAAGGCGCAU